Aegilops tauschii subsp. strangulata is the source of this 2098-nucleotide non-coding RNA. The record is from RefSeq and is a predicted model, not a curated record. NCBI's taxonomy places the organism in Eukaryota, Viridiplantae, Streptophyta, Magnoliopsida, Poales, Poaceae.
CGAAUAUUUUCCACUUUCCAGAAAUGCCCUCUCGUUCGUUCACCUUACCAACUCGAGCUCUCUCUCUGGUUCCCCUCUCACCUACCCCCUUCUCGCUCCCCUCCAGAUCCCCGUCGUCGCCGGCUUCUCCUCGUCGUCGUUCGCCGGCCUCUCCUCGCCACCACCACGCACUCUGUUUCCUCCGGCCGCGCACACCGCACCGUAGGUCAAAAGCUUGCUUUUUUAGGCGCCGUCGACCAACUUAUGGGCGGCGGAGGAUGGAUCCGCGUGCACCAAAGCUGGAUCCGCGCGUGUCGACGCCGUAGCAGCGGAGCAGGGCCAUAGCAGCGCCGUCCUCCUCCACGACCACACAGCCGCGUCGGCGAAGGACUCGAAUCCCUAGCCAGCGAGCUCAGGCAGCCAUGGAUCCAUGGUCGAUGCCAUGGAAGAGCCACCAACAGCAACAGCUAAGAUAUGGACAUGCAGGCCGCUGCCCUCCCUGAUGCAUCAUGCGUGCUGCCCUCCCUAACCACCGCUUCUCGGACUCUACUUCUUCCUUGGUCACCAUGGAAGGAGAGCACCAACAGCAGAAUUAUGCAGAGCCUUGUCAAAUGUUGUUGCACUGAACAGAGGCAUGGGUAAAGCUCUCAAUUUUAGUAUGCAAAUGUAUGCAGUAGUCAAUUUAAUUAAAAUGUGUUUAUGUAGGCAUAUGUAUGGAGUACUAGUCCAUUUAAGUGUAGCAGUAGUGCUUGCUUGAUUGCUUGCAAUAGUUUAGUUGCUCUUUUAGUUGCUCAUAAUUAAGUGCAGGAGUAUCUUCUUCUCUGUUCUUGCUGUCAUCUUCUCUUAGCUGCUCAUAAUUAAGUGUAGGGUUUUCUCUUUUCUUUUCUCUUCUCUUCUCUUGCAAAUACUCCUCUUGUGCCCUCAAUGAUUUAAUUUUCUUUAAUUAAAAUUAAACUGAGUAGCAGUAGCAUUUUGCUUGCCGGAGUAGAGUAUUGCAAUGCAUGCAUUUGAUUCAGUUUCUUCUCUUUUGAGCAUGUUUGCUUGUAGUGCUUACAAUUAAACCUUUUCAAUUAAUUUUCUUGGAUUAAACCUUUUCAAUUAAUUUUCUUGGAUUACUUGGAGUACUGAUGGUGAUUGCUGCUGUUAAGUUAGGACUUGCAAGCAGUAGUUUAGUGUAGGACUUGCAAGAAGAGGAUUGCAAGCUACUGUAGUGUACUCCUCUUGCAAGUAAUUUAACUAAAAAAAUUAGUUGACUGAAAAUAUUCGGUUAAAGUUAACUGAAAACGUUCCAUGUCAAAUUGUGUACUCCCAUUGCUUUAUUUGAUCAUUUGAGUUAACAGAGUAUUUAACUUUAACUGAUCAUUGUUUUAUUUGAUCCUCAUUGUGUACUUCCAUUGUUCUACUCCUGCAUUUAGUACUAUAUCUGCAUUGUUCUACUCCCAUUCAGUUAACAGAGUAGUUCAUGUCAAACAAAUUCUGAAAUAUACCUGCAUUUAGUAUAUCUCCAUCUCCUGCAUCUUCAUCUCCUGCAUCUUCAAUCAUCUCAUCUUCUACAGGUGGAGUGUUGUUGAGGUCCAGGAGAACCAUCUUCUACAGGCGAGACGACAAGGCCGUUGUCAGUGGUGAGCUGGUACUACAGGAGAAGGAACAUGGCCAGGAGAAGAAGGAGCACGCCCAGGAGAACAAGAAGGAGCAGGAUUAAGGCCCUAAGGACCUGGCAUCGCUGCUGCUGGACCUGGGACCUAGGAUUGCUGCUGCUGGACUUGGGAACUGGGAUUGCUGCUGCUCUGUGCCUCCUUGGCACCCCUGGAUCUGGGAUCGCUGCUGGAAACAAGGACCAGGGAUCGCUGCUGGAGGCGAGGACCUGGGAGCGCCUGGGACCUGGGCGCAUGGAGGAGAAGCAGGGGCAGGCGGAGGAGAAGCAGGGGCGGGCGAGCGGACGAUGGCCUGGUGAACGGGCGGGCUAUGGCCUCGCGGAUGGAGGAAGACGAUGGGGAUACCGAUUCAAACUAGGGGCAACGAUGUAAAUUCCACCGUUUUCACCUGGUCGGAACUAAUCCUCCAGCGACUUACAUUUCGGAACGGAGGGAGUAUAAAUAAGGCAAGAAUCCUCACAGUA